RNAcentral lists this unclassified non-coding RNA (356 nucleotides) under uncultured Tylospora. RNAcentral's name for it is "sequence contains ITS1, 5.8S rRNA gene and ITS2". The stretch from base 90 to 244 matches the Rfam family "5.8S ribosomal RNA". The record is from RNAcentral. Lineage: Eukaryota; Fungi; Basidiomycota; Agaricomycetes; Atheliales; Atheliaceae.
UGGGCCUUCGGGCCCGCGUAUAUUUACUCUGAAUGUGUAUAGAAUGUAAACCGUUUGUUUGCCCUGAAAAAGCAAACGAAAAAAAAUACAACUUUCAACAACGGAUCUCUUGGCUCUCGCAUCGAUGAAGAACGCAGCGAAAUGCGAUAAGUAAUGUGAAUUGCAGAUUUUCAGUGAAUCAUCGAAUCUUUGAACGCACCUUGCGCCCCUUGGUAUUCCGAGGGGCAUGCCUGUUUGAGUGUCAUUAAAUCCUCAACCGCGCCGAUCGAUUUCGGUGGGGCUUGGACUUUGGAGCGUGCUGGCGAAGGUCGGCUCCUCUUUAAAUGCAUCAGCGGAAGAAACCUUUGUCUUUCCUG